RNAcentral lists this ribosomal RNA (494 nucleotides) under uncultured bacterium. Its description in RNAcentral is "partial 16S ribosomal RNA". It matches the Rfam family "Bacterial small subunit ribosomal RNA", at positions 28 to 523 of the family's 1533-position model. The record is from RNAcentral.
GAUGAACGCUGGCGGCGUGCUUAACACAUGCAAGUCGAACGGGAAAUACUUCAUUGAGACUUCGGUGGAUUUGAUUUGUUUCCAGUGGCGGACGGGUGAGUAACGCGUGGGUAACCUGCCUUAUACAGGGGGAUAACAGUCAGAAAUGACUGCUAAUACCGCAUAAGCGCACAGGACCGCAUGGUCCGGUGUGAAAAACUCCGGUGGUAUAAGAUGGACCCGCGUUGGAUUAGCUUGUUGGUGGGGUAACGGCCCACCAAGGCGACGAUCCAUAGCCGGCCUGAGAGGGUGAACGGCCACAUUGGGACUGAGACACGGGCCAGACUCCUACGGGAGGCAGCAGUGGGGAAUAUUGCACAAUGGGGGAAACCCUGAUGCAGCGACGCCGCGUGAAGGAAGAAGUAUCUCGGUAUGUAAACUUCUAUCAGCAGGGAAGAUAGUGACGGUACCUGACUAAGAAGCCCCGGCUAACUACGUGCCAGCCGCCGCGGUAA